CUACGGGGCGCAGCAGUCGCGAAAACUUUGCAAUACACGAAAGUGUGACAGGGCUAUCCCGAGUGCCAUCCGCUGAGGAAGGCUUUUACCCAGUCUAGAACGCUGGGGGAAUAAGGAGAGGGCAAGUCUGGUGUCAGCCGCCGCGGUAAUACCAGCUCUCGGAGUGGUGUGGAUGUUUAUUGGGCCUAAAGCAUCCGUAGCUGGCUAAGUUAGUCCCUUGUUAAAUCCACCGAAUUAAUCGUUGGAUCGCGGGGGAUACUGCUUGGCUAGGGGACGAGAGAGGCAGACGGUAUUUUCGGGGUAGGGGUGAAAUCCUAUAAUCCCGGGAAGACCACCAGUGGCGAAGGCUGUCUGCUAGAACGCGCCCGACGGUGAGGGAUGAAAGCUGGGGGAGCGAACCGGAUUAGAUACCCGGGUAGUCCCAGCUGUAAACGAUGCAGGCUAGGUGUUUGGACGGCCACGUGCCGUUCUAGUGCCGCAGGGAAGCUGUUAAGCCUGCCGCCUGGGGAGUACGAUCGCAAGAUUGAAACU
This 531-nucleotide ribosomal RNA is filed under the name uncultured archaeon. RNAcentral describes it as "bacterial SSU rRNA". It matches the Rfam family "Archaeal small subunit ribosomal RNA", at positions 323 to 856 of the family's 1478-position model. The record is from RNAcentral.